Long non-coding RNA from Lytechinus pictus (painted urchin), 4174 nucleotides. RefSeq lists it as uncharacterized. NCBI's taxonomy places the organism in Eukaryota, Metazoa, Echinodermata, Echinoidea, Temnopleuroida, Toxopneustidae. The record is from RefSeq and is a predicted model, not a curated record. The transcript is spliced from 6 exons.
GGACUUGCCAUUUAAACAAUUUGAAAUUCUAACUGAUAUAUAAUGUUCAAUUGGUCAUCUUAAAAAAAAAAAAAAAACAAGAAGACAAAGAACCCCCACAUGAUUAUUCAUCUAUGAUCUACAAUAAAUGCUUCAUGUAGAUUCAUAUUUUGUUUCAUUUUUGUUUGGUUGGCUUUUUUCCUUAUUUACUGCAGAUGCUGAGAAAUAACUGAUGAUAGUGGAUGAUACAUGUAGCAGAUAAAUAGCAUGAGUCAAAAGGAAUAUACAAUAAAGACUCGAAAAUCUUCGAGAAAAAGCAAAGCUGAUGACAGAUUCUUUGAUGAAGACCCCCCAGGUUUCAUUGUGAAGCAUUUGCAAGAGAAAGGAAUAUACAAUAAAGACUCGAAAAUCUUCGAGAAAAAGCAAAGCUGAUGACAGAUUCUUUGAUGAAGACCCCCCAGGUUUCAUUGUGAAGCAUUUGCAAGAGAAAGGAAUAUACAAUAAAGACUCGAAAAUCUUCGAGAAAAAGCAAAGCUGAUGACAGAUUCUUUGAUGAAGACCCCCCAGGUUUCAUUGUGAAGCAUUUGCAAGAGAAAGGAAGAGCUGUUUUCUCUACAAGGGUCUUCAAGGCAGGGGAGUUCUUGCUGUGGUAUAAGGGAUAGAUUAUAGAUGGCCUAGAGGCAGAAGCAAGGGAGGAAGUCGAACAAACAGGCUUCCGCUUUUUCUUCAAUUGGAAAGGGAAGAAUAUGUGUUGUGAUGCCUCAAUUGAACCUACCACAGGACCAAGACUGGGCAGACUUGUUAACCAUGGGAGAAAAAAAGAGACAAAUGGAAAAGUUAGAGUGUGUGAAAAUAUACUUGGAGAACCUCAGCUCCUUCUUUUUGCAAGCAGAGACAUCAAUGCAAACGAAGAAAUCUUGUAUGAUUAUGGGGUUGAAAGGAACUUUGUAUUUCCCCCACCAAUCGUCCCUAAAUUACCAGAGAGUAAUUUGAUGCAGACAGCAGGCAGAAAGACUGCAAAAAAUAGUUGCCUCUCCAGGUUGCUAAUAUAUGUCUUUAGAGAUAUUCAAAUCUGUUUAUCUGUUACUUCUCUUAUAUUUUGUUUUGUUAUUUGUAAUUGAAAUCAACUGGUUUGGAAGCUGAACUUGCUUCUUAAAUAAGAAUACCUGAAUACCUUAAUAUAGAUUCACCAUUACUCUACCAGCAGUAUAUAUGUAAAAUAAUAUGUUCAGCUUCCAAACCAGUUGAUUUCAAUUAAAAAUAACAAAACAUACCAGAAUAGAACAGAUUUGAAUAUCUCUACAGACCUAUUAGCAACCAGGACAGGCAACUACCACAGAUGUCGUUGGUAGACUCCCUAUAUACAUGUGCAUUACUGAAUACAUUAUUAUGUAUAUCCAUUCCUUUUUCAAAAAAUAUAAUAUUCUCAUUGUUCUCACCCAAAUAUAUUGAAAAAAAAUGUUAUAACAUCAAUACGUACUCUAUUUCUAAAACAUGAAAAAUUAUAUAAUUUUGAUAAAUCUACAAGUACAUAACAAUAUAUACAUGUAUAUGCAUGGAUGCAAGUAAUGAAUAUAAGUUUGGAGAAAUAUGUGAGGAAAUCAAGCUCAUAUUUGAAGUAUUGUAAAAGGACAGAAAAAAAAAAUUCAUUGAAUCGCAAAUAUGGUAUCGUGUUCAGAGAAAAAAAUUUCUCAAAAAUUAGUUUUGCACUUUAAAACAGUAUUUGCUUCGUUUUGGUGUCAGUUGUUUCUAUGAGUAUUAUUAAGGUACAAAGCCAAAUGUUUUUCACUAAGGCUUUGAAAUUUUAAAUUUGCCAAAGAUUGUUGAAAAAGUAACAUAAUACCUUUACUGUCUAGAUUGAGCAUGUUUCGAUGUACAAUUGUAUCUCACAAAACUAAAGGACUCUAUGUUAUGUCAUUUGUGUACCAACCAACAAAAAUUAUUUUGCUCUUUACGCUAGAGGUUCCUUGUCAUACCACCAAAAAUUAUUUUCCUCUUUAUAUUAGAGGUUCCUUGUCAUACAAUAUUCAAAAUAUGGGAUUCAAAUAUUAUCCUCUAAAGAAAUAGUGCAAGUUAAAUAACACUUUAGAUUACUCCAUGCUGAUUUCCUCACAUAUUUCUCCAAACUUAUAUUCAUGAUAACUUGCAAUUGUGAUGUAUAUUCCUUAUACAUGAAAAUAAAUUCAGCGUCAAGAAAAGUUUGUUGAUGAGUUUGCAUCUGUCUAUGCACAUAUAUUGGUUAUGUAUUUGCAGAUUUAUAAAAAUUACCGCAUUUGACAUGUUUUAGAAAAAUACAUAUUGAUGUAAUAACAUGUCCAGGUUGCUAAUAUGUCUUUAGCGAUAUUCAAAUCUGUUUAUCUAUUACUUCUGUUAUGUUUUGUUUCGUUGUUUUGAAAUCAACUAGUUUGGAAGCUGAACAUACUUCUUAAAUAAGAGAUAACUUGAUAUGUUACAUACAUGUAUAUGCUGUUGGUAGAAUAAUUGUGAAUCUAGUGUUUUGAAAUCUUUAAGUGAUAACAUUUUUCAUGUUCAGGUAUUCUCUAUGUGUACUAUGAUUUUACUGUAUAUGCCCCUAAAUUGGUUUACCCACACUAGUUGAUUUGAUGACAUGAAAAUCAUGGAGGCAUAUUUAUUUUUGAAAGAUGUUGAGAAAUAUCAUAAAUUAAAAAGAAUGUUGGAAAAGUUUGUAUGACAUGAAUACAUGUAUAUGAUUGAUCACAAAUGACAUCUUAGCAACCUUUUCAUGGAUUGUGCUGCCAAACAGUUACACUUCUCACCAUUUGAUUUGUAUAAUUAUGAUAAAUAUGUUUCCAUUUCUUUUUUCAAGAAACUGAUUUCCUCACAUAUUUCUCCAAACUUAUUUUCAUGAUAACUAGCAACUGUGUAAUAUUUUCUUUUGUUGUUUUUAAUUGAAAUCAACUGGUUUGGGAGCUGAACUUGCUGUUUGAAUAAGAACUCGAUAUGGAUAGUUCCAUGGUAAAUUUUGAUACAAAUAAUGGUUACAUUUAAGGAUAAAUGUUUCCAUAAUUUUGUAAUAAUAAGGAUCUACAAAUUACUUUUUCCACACCAUGCACAUGGGCAUAAUAGACGUACACCAUCUAUUGUGAUAAAAAAAUAAAAACAAAGGACAAACAUGUUGGGAUUCUUGAAUAAUUUUAUUUCGGUAACUCGCACUAUGAGUAAAGGACAUGAUGUUCAUUUCAAUAAAAGCCUCUUUUGUGAAAGUCUCAUUCUGCAAACUUGAUAAAAUUUUCCUACCUUGAAUUGAGAGUGGACUAUGAAUUAUGAAUAAAAAGCAAAUUUGAGAGACAAUUAACCUUAAAAUGUAGGGAGCACAUUAUGUUUGUCCAAAUGGCCUGACACAAACUAUUAAUGGCAUCAAACUGUUCUGAUGCUACUGGAUUUUCUUAGAAUCCAGACAAAUGCAUAGUAAUAUAAUGGUUACGUCUGAAACAAAUACUGAGAACCUCAAUUAUUAGAGAACAGGUCAAUUUAAAGCCCCAUGGUCCCAUAUGUGCAAAUCUAUGUUUUUUCGAUGCAUUCAGUGUAUCGUAUAAUGUUUAAUCGGAAAUGUUUAGAUUUACUAUAAGAAGACUGUUAAUUUCAGAUCAUAAUUUUCAUUUACAUUAUUCAAACAUACGAUGACAGUUUGUAAAGCAGAUCUCUAAUUGACUACAUCGUAUGUUUGAAUACUGAAUGCCAAAAUUAGAGAUCGGCAUUAAGAAAUAUACGGUCUUGACAUGAUUAAAUGCAAUAUAGCUGUGGAGAUCGACAGGAAAACUGUGAAUUAUGCUAUGUUAUGUCAUCUUUUUAAUGUUAAGAAUGCUUUACUUUAGUAUGACACGGUUACAUGUAUGCCGCCAGCAGAGUACUAGUGAAUCUUGUGUUUUGAAAUCUUUACAUUUUGUGUUCAAUUGUUGUUACAUCUACUAUGCUUUUACUGCAUGUGUUCCUAAAUAGGUACCCCCACCCCCAAAAAAGGUGAUUUGAUGACAAAUAGAAAACAUGAAACAUAUUUAUUUUUUUAUAGAGUGUGAAAAUCAAACAUUGAAAUAGAAAUUUAGGAAAGUAAAAAAGGUGUUCAAUCAAUAUCUCUCAAAUUUAUCUGUCCUAAAAUCCAUGCAAAAAAGUUGAGAAAUGUGAAAUUGAUUCUUGUUUCUAGUUAUUGUUUUGUUAUAGAAUAAAGUUGAUUUAU